RNAcentral lists this ribosomal RNA (447 nucleotides) under uncultured bacterium. Its description in RNAcentral is "partial 16S ribosomal RNA". It matches the Rfam family "Bacterial small subunit ribosomal RNA", at positions 29 to 523 of the family's 1533-position model. The record is from RNAcentral.
AAUGAACGCUGGCGGCGUGCCUAAUACAUGCAAGUCGAACGCACCGCAAGGUGAGUGGCAGACGGGUGAGUAACGCGUGGGAACCUUCCUAAUAGUACGGAAUAACUUCGGGAAACCAAAGCUAAUGCCGUAUACGCCCUCUGGGGGAAAGAUUUAUCGCUAUUAGAUGGGCCCGCGUAGGAUUAGCUAGUUGGUGAGGUAAUGGCUCACCAAGGCUACGAUCCUUAGCUGGUCUGAGAGGCUGAUCAGCCACACUGGGACUGAGACACGGCCCAGACGCCUACGGAAGGCAGCAGUAGGGAAUAUUGGAUAAUGGGCGCAAGCCUGAUCCAGCCAUGCCGCGUGAGUGAAGAAGGCCUUAGGGUUGUAAAGCUCUUUUGGUGGGGAAGAUAAUGACGGUACCCACAGAAUAAGCCCCGGCUAACUUCGUGCCAGCCGCCGCGGUAA